CUGGGCACAUGCUAAUUUGAAAGGUGUAAUAUAUAAAGUUAUUUCAUAAAUAAAUAUAAAUGUGUUAUUUUAUUUGUCAUUGCUUUGCUAAUACAUCAUUAACAUUUACUCUUUUUUUAUAUCCGAAUCUGUGCUUAGGGAAGAAAGACUUGAGUUCAUCAUUAACAUGGGGAUUUGAAGAUGAAGAACCAAAGACCUACGAAGCAAAUGGAACCAGGAAAUAUUCAAAGAAACCAUCAAAGCCAGUAGACUGGGUUUUGUGAAGAAUGAAUCGACUUUCAUGCAGUAUCUUUCUUCUGGAGGGUCGGCAUGUCAAGGCUGACUUGAAACGUACCUCUACUCGCAACUUGACAACAGAAACAAAGGGAGAGAGGAGGGGAAUGCUUGGAAUGUAUUCGGAGAUGAGAGGGAGAUGAGGAAUGUAUGUGAAACAUUUACAGCCUGAGAAAAUCCUGACACUUCAAGGCCGAGUGAUGGGAACCAUCUGAAGAUGCAGACUGUUUUCCCAAAAUAAAAAGAAUGUGUUGGAUCGGUGGAUAAUGGACAAUGGGUGGCCCAAAUGAGGAAAAGGGGAAAUUAACUAUGCUGUUUUUCACACAAAAACCUCAGAGCUAGCUGCGUUUCUUCUGUGCCUGUAUGGAUCUAUUAGUAAAGUU
Molecule: long non-coding RNA, 656 nt
Organism: Protobothrops mucrosquamatus (brown spotted pit viper)
Lineage: Eukaryota; Metazoa; Chordata; Lepidosauria; Squamata; Viperidae
Exons: 3
Source: RefSeq, a predicted model, not a curated record